Molecule: ribosomal RNA, 1545 nt
Filed under: Triticum aestivum (bread wheat)
Lineage: Eukaryota; Viridiplantae; Streptophyta; Magnoliopsida; Poales; Poaceae
Description: partial small subunit ribosomal RNA
Source: RNAcentral
AUGGUAUUGACUCUGUCGCCUGAAUUGCUCGUCUGCACCUCCGUCCUCCUCCUACUUUUAGCCUUCUGCAUGUACACAAAGCCUAGGAGAUCAAAGCAUCCAUUGCAAACGACGGAUUGGCCAAUACUUGGCAUCCUCCCUUCACUCAUCCUCAACCUACACAGGUUCCACGAUUACAUCACCGAAGUCCUCCCCUCCUAUGAGCAUAACCUCAAGUCGUGCUUAACUAGCAUGCGCUUCUUGAUCACUUGUGACCCGACCAAUGUCCGGCACGUUUUCACCUCAAACCACACAAACUACCUCAAGGGCAAGGAGUUCUCGGAGAUGUUCGACGUUACAGACGGCAGCUUCUUCACCGUCGACGGCGAGCCAUGCCGCCGGCAGCGUGCUAGGAUUCAGAGCAUAUUCAGCAGCCCGCGGCUGCUCGCCUUGAUGGCCGACUGCUGCCGUGACAAGGUGGAGAAGGGCGUUACCCCGUUCCUGACACGUAUGGUGACCACCGGGGCCCCGUUUGACAUGCAUGAUUUGAUCACGAGGUUCGCGUUCGACGUGACCGCCACGCCCAUCUUCGGCGUGGACCCUGGUCUCCUCUCAACCGGCGGCCAUAACAUGCCACUACAACCCACGCAUGCCACCGUCGCCAUGGAUACCGUCAUGGAGGUGGCACUGCUCCGCCACGUCCUGCCAGUGUGCUGCUGGAAAGCGAUGAGGUGGCUAAACAUUGGCCCAGAGAGAAAGCUCGCCGUGGCGCAUAAAGUGCUUCGUGGGUUUAUAGCAGAGAUGAUGGAGAGGAGCAAGCUGAUGACAAGCAGCCAUACUGGUGAUCAGGAGGGUCCUGUUGGCCCCGUAGACAAUAUUAUGUCUACAUACAUCAACGAUCCAGAAUACAACGAUGGCCUGCUCUGCGCGACGCUCAUCAACUUCAUGAUCGCUGGGAGGGACACCAUCGGCACGGCGUUGCUAUGGCUCUUCUACAGCCUCGCCCAGAACCCUGACGUCGUGUCCUGUAUCCGGAAAGAAUUGUUCCCUAUUGCCUCGGGCAAAGCAGCACACGCCAGCACCAUGGUUAUAUUUGAGCCCGAGGAGACUAAAGCCCUUAUCUAUUUGCACGCCACUUUGUUCGAGUCUCUCAGGCUGUUCCCUCCGAUCCCCAUCGAGCGCAAGACGGUGAUCGCUGACGAUGUGAUGCCGAGCGGCCACGGGGUGUGUGCUGGUGACACCAUCCUCGUCUCCCUCUACUCCAUGGGGAGAAUGGAGCAGGUGUGGGGGCAGGACUGCCGGGAGUACAAGCCGGAGAGGUGGCUCUCUGGAAACGGCAGCGAGCUACGGUAUGUGCCAUCUCACAAGUUCUUGGCGUUUAACUCGGGGUCUAGGAUGUGCCUCGGAAAGGACAUUGCCAUCAUGCAGAUGAAGACUGUCGUUGCUGCCAUCGUGUGGAACUUCGACCUGGAAGUGUUGGAAGGGCAUUCUGUCCAACCCAAGUUUUCUUGUAUUCUGCAGAUGAAACAUGGGCUUAUGGUGAAAGUGAAGAAGCGAGAAAUGUAG